Molecule: ribosomal RNA, 497 nt
Filed under: uncultured bacterium
Lineage: Bacteria
Description: partial 16S ribosomal RNA
Rfam family: Bacterial small subunit ribosomal RNA
Source: RNAcentral
GAUGAACGCUGGCGGCGUGCCUAAUACAUGCAAGUCGAGCGAACAGACGAGGAGCUUGCUCCUCUGACGUUAGCGGCGGACGGGUGAGUAACACGUGGAUAACCUACCUAUAAGACUGGGAUAACUUCGGGAAACCGGAGCUAAUACCGGAUAAUAUAUUGAACCGCAUGGUUCAAUAGUGAAAGACGGUUUUGCUGUCACUUAUAGAUGGAUCCGCGCCGCAUUAGCUAGUUGGUAAGGUAACGGCUUACCAAGGCAACGAUGCGUAGCCGACCUGAGAGGGUGAUCGGCCACACUGGAACUGAGACACGGUCCAGACUCCUACGGGAGGCAGCAGUAGGGAAUCUUCCGCAAUGGGCGAAAGCCUGACGGAGCAACGCCGCGUGAGUGAUGAAGGUCUUCGGAUCGUAAAACUCUGUCAUUAGGGAAGAACAAAUGUGUAAGUAACUAUGCACGUCUCGACGGUACCUAAUCAGAAAGCCACGGCUAACUACGUG